Molecule: ribosomal RNA, 324 nt
Filed under: uncultured bacterium
Lineage: Bacteria
Description: bacterial SSU rRNA
Rfam family: Bacterial small subunit ribosomal RNA
Source: RNAcentral
GAUGAACGCUGGCGGCGUGCUUAACACAUGCAAGUCGAACGAAGCGCUUAAACGGAUUUCUUCGGAAUGAAGUUUUUGCGACUGAGUGGCGGACGGGUGAGUAACGCGUGGGUAACCUGCCUCAUACAGGGGGAUAACAGUUAGAAAUGACUGCUAAUACCGCAUAAGCGCACAGUGCUGCAUGGCACAGUGUGAAAAACUCCGGUGGUAUGAGAUGGACCCGCGUCUGAUUAGCUAGUUGGUGGGGUAACGGCCUACCAAGGCGACGAUCAGUAGCCGACCUGAGAGGGUGACCGGCCACAUUGGGACUGAGACACGGCCCAA